GACGAACGCUGGCGGCGUGCUUAACACAUGCAAGUCGAACGGAAAGGCCCUGCUGUUGUCGGGUGCCCGAGUGGCUAACGGGCGAGUAACACGUGAGUAACCUGCCCUUGACUUUGGGAUAACUUCAGGAAACUGGGGCUAAUACCGGAUAGGUGCUCCUGCUUCAUGGUGGGGGUUGGAAAGUUUCGGCGGCUGGGGAUGGACUCGCGGCUUAUCAGCUUGUUGGUGGGGUAGUGGCUUACCAAGGCGUGGACGGGUAGCCGGCCUGAGAGGGUGACCGGCCACAUUGGGCCUGGGAUACGGCCAGUACUCCUACUGGAGGAAGCAGUGGGGAAUAGUGCACGAUGGGCGGAAGCCGGAUGCAGCAACGCCGCGUGCGAGAUGACGGCCUUCGGGUUGUAAACCGCUUUCGCCUGUGACGAAGCGUGAGUGACGGUAAUGGGUAAAGAAGCACCGGCUAACUACGUG
RNAcentral lists this ribosomal RNA (468 nucleotides) under uncultured bacterium. RNAcentral describes it as "partial 16S ribosomal RNA". It matches the Rfam family "Bacterial small subunit ribosomal RNA", at positions 28 to 507 of the family's 1533-position model. The record is from RNAcentral.